Non-coding RNA from Picea glauca (white spruce), 109 nucleotides. The record is from Rfam. Lineage: Eukaryota; Viridiplantae; Streptophyta; Pinopsida; Pinales; Pinaceae.
UAUAACAUAUCGUUAAUGCAUCAGAUUCCAUUAGAACUAUGCAGUUAAGCAAGCUCAUGCUAGAGUAGUACUAGGAUGGGUGGCCGCCUAGGAAUUCCUAGUGUUUUAC